CCUAAAUAUUCCCUGGUGACCGAUAGCGGAUAGUACCGUGAGGGAAUGGUGAAAAGUACCGCGGGAGCGGAGUGAAAUAGUACCUGAAACCGUGUGCCUACAAGCCGUGGGAGCGUCGCGCAAGGACUUGUCCUUGCGUCGUGACUGCGUGCCUUUUGAAGAAUGAGCCUGCGAGUUUGCGGUGUGUUGCGAGGUUAACCCGGGUGGGGAAGCCGUAGCGAAAGCGAGUCCGAACAGGGCGUUUUAGUAGCACGCUCAAGACCCGAAGCGGAGUGAUCUAGCCAUGGGCAGGUUGAAGCGGCUGUAAGAGGUCGUGGAGGACCGAACCCACCAGGGUUGAAAACCUGGGGGAUGACCUGUGGUUAGGGGUGAAAGGCCAAUCAAACUCCGUGAUAGCUGGUUCUCCCCGAAAUGCAUUUAGGUGCAGCGUCGUGUGUUUCUUGCCGGAGGUAGAGCACUGGAUAGGCGAUGGGCCCUACCGGGUUACUGACCUUAGCCAAACUCCGAAUGCCGGUAAGUGAGAGCGCGGCAGUGAGACUGUGGGGGAUAAGCUCCAUGGUCGAGAGGGAAACAGCCCAGAGCAUCGACUAAGGCCCCUAAGCGUACGCUAAGUGGGAAAGGAUGUGGAGUCGCACAGACAACCAGGAGGUUGGCUUAGAAGCAGCCACCCUUGAAAGAGUGCGUAAUAGCUCACUGGUCUAGUGAUUCCGCGCCGACAAUGUAGCGGGGCUCAAGCGUACCGCCGAAGUCGUGUCAUUGCGAUAUAUACCCCCAACGGGGAUCGUGAUGGGUAGGGGAGCGUCGUGUGCCGGGUGAAGCAGCCGCGGAAGCGAGUUGUGGACGGUUCACGAGUGAGAAUGCAGGCAUGAGUAGCGAUACAAACGUGAGAAACGUUUGCGCCGAUUGACUAAGGGUUCCUGGGUCAAGCUGAUCUGCCCAGGGUAAGUCGGGACCUAAGGCGAGGCCGACAGGCGUAGUCGAUGGAUAACCGGUUGAUAUUCCGGUACCCGCUGUGAAGCGUCAAACAUUGAAUCAGGCGAUGCUAAGUCCGUGAAGCCGCCCCUGAUCUCUUCGGAGUGAGGGGGAGUGGUGGAGCCGAUGAUCCAGACCUGUAGUAGGUGAGUGAUGGGGUGACGCAGGAAGGUAGUCCAUCCCGGGCGGUGGUUGUCCCGGGGUAAGGGUGUAGGCCGUGCGAUAGGUAAAUCCGUCGCACUUGUGGCUGAGACCUGAUGCCGAGCCGAUUGUGGUGAAGUGGAUGAUCCUAUGCUGUCGA
This 1273-nucleotide ribosomal RNA is filed under the name Streptomyces sp. M1013. RNAcentral's name for it is "bacterial LSU rRNA". It matches the Rfam family "Bacterial large subunit ribosomal RNA", at positions 465 to 1611 of the family's 2925-position model. Lineage: Bacteria; Bacillati; Actinomycetota; Actinomycetes; Kitasatosporales; Streptomycetaceae. The record is from RNAcentral.